AGCGAACGCUGGCGGCAGGCCUAACACAUGCAAGUCGAACGAACUCUUCGGAGUUAGUGGCGGACGGGUGAGUAACACGUGGGAACGUGCCUUUAGGUUCGGAAUAACUCAGGGAAACUUGUGCUAAUACCGAAUGUGCCCUUCGGGGGAAAGAUUUAUCGCCUUUAGAGCGGCCCGCGUCUGAUUAGCUAGUUGGUGAGGUAAAGGCUCACCAAGGCGACGAUCAGUAGCUGGUCUGAGAGGAUGAUCAGCCACAUUGGGACUGAGACACGGCCCAAACUCCUACGGGAGGCAGCAGUGGGGAAUCUUGCGCAAUGGGCGAAAGCCUGACGCAGCCAUGCCGCGUGGAUGAUGAAGGUCUUAGGAUUGUAAAAUUCUUUCACCGGGGACGAUAAUGACGGUACCCGGAGAAGAAGCCCCGGCUAACUUCGUG
This 433-nucleotide ribosomal RNA is filed under the name uncultured bacterium. Its description in RNAcentral is "partial 16S ribosomal RNA". It matches the Rfam family "Bacterial small subunit ribosomal RNA", at positions 29 to 507 of the family's 1533-position model. The record is from RNAcentral.